GAAAUGCGAUAAGUAAUGUGAAUUGCAGAAUUCAGUGAAUCAUCGAAUCUUUGAACGCACCUUGCGCUCCUUGGUAUUCCUUGGAGCAUGCCUGUUUGAGUAUAUGAAAUCUUCAAAGUAAAUCUUUUGUUAACUCAAUUGGUUUCUACUUUGGUAUUGGAGGUCUUUGCAGCUUCACACCUGCUCCUCUUUGUUCAUUAGCUGGAUCUCAGUGUUAUGCUUGGUUCCACUCGGCGUGAUAAGUUAUCUAUCGCUGAGGACACUGUAAAAGGUGGCCAAGGUAAAUGCAGAUGAACCGCUUCUAAUAGUCCAUUGACUUGGACAAUACUUUUAUGAUCUGAUCUCAAAUCAGGUAGGACUACCCGCUGAACUUAAGC
This 377-nucleotide unclassified non-coding RNA is filed under the name plant metagenome. RNAcentral describes it as "partial contains 5.8S ribosomal RNA, internal transcribed spacer 2, and large subunit ribosomal RNA". The stretch from base 1 to 105 matches the Rfam family "5.8S ribosomal RNA", at positions 50 to 154 of the family's 154-position model. The record is from RNAcentral.